RNAcentral lists this small nuclear RNA (299 nucleotides) under Nannospalax galili (Upper Galilee mountains blind mole rat). RNAcentral's name for it is "7SK RNA (ENSNGAG00000006046.1)". It matches the Rfam family "7SK RNA". Rfam says of the family: 7SK was discovered as an abundant small nuclear RNA in the mid-70s but a possible function has only recently been suggested. Two independent studies have found that 7SK RNA binds the CDK9/cyclin T complex (known as elongation factor P-TEFb). The record is from RNAcentral. Lineage: Eukaryota; Metazoa; Chordata; Mammalia; Rodentia; Spalacidae.
AGAUGUGAGAGUGAUAUGGCUAUGACAAAUGUCAGCCCAUUGAUUGUCAGAGUUGAUUCAGCUGAUCUGGCUGACUAGGCAGCUGUUCCCUUCCUCCCUCAUCACUGCAUGUGUGCCCCUCCUUAAGCUGUGUGCUGGAUCAAAGAGGAUGAUCAGCUUUCCAAUAGCAGAAGGUCCACAGUAAUUGUGCUCCCUUGCUAGAACCUCCAAAUCAGCUCUUGAGAUCAACCAUCACAGAGAGACACAGACUAGAUGAUAGCUCAAGACCAAAAUGGAGGCACAAGCAGAGUUGUCCCCCU